GGGAGGAGGAAGAAGCCUAAGAAGAGAACAUUCGGAGCAGCGCGCGUCCGUGCUCUUACGCGCGCGGCGACGCGCGGUAGGGGAAUGCUGUUGUUGCUGGUUGCUGUUUCUGGUAGUGGUAACGCUGGUAACGGCGAUGGCAUCGUCGGUGACGGGUGCCCUCGUUGGUGGUGGUGCCGAUAAAGUUAAAGCCACUGGCGAACGAUGCAGGGGCCGCGUAAUGACAACGCAGCGUGUCGUAAACGCGUUUAUGUCCAGAGUUGCAUUAUAGUAAUAUCUGCCAGCACCCAACGGAUAUUCAGUGCCUCUUCGGCAGCGUUACCAUGCUCGACCGUUUCGCGACCGUUUUUCUUUUCGUUUCUUGCUGCGCUUCGGCCAGUUUCAAUCCUCGUUUUGUCAUUCGCGUUAACAGUGACCGAUUCUACUAUUUAUCCAACUCAAAGUUGUCCUUUCUCAUAUUAUUCAUAAGAAAAGUUGUUUACAAGUUAUUCCAAGUUGUCUCGAACUUUCUAAAAUUAAGAUGUCGAAGAGGAGAAGAAGAGGACGUAAAAAGAAUAACGUUUAUUCGCCUACACACGUUGUGUCAUAACUACCAAAUAAUUACCAUUACGUUGGAUUAUUAUCCAGGCUUCAUUUUAUAUACAAUCGGUUGUACGUAAAUCACGCACAAAAUUCGCCAGAAGUCAUAAACGUCCAUGUUAAUGGUUCGACUUAAUUUGACGCCCUCAGAUAUACCAGAAGUUGGUUUGCUCUCAUUUUAAUAUCUUGUAAUAUCCACAUAGCGGUAACGCGUAGAGACAUCGACGAGUGGCGACUCUUUACCGCCGCUGCGCGCUUCUCCCUUUUUCCGUAAUCUCCGAACUAAAAUUUUUCCUCAACGAACUCCUCGUUCUCCACGGUAUCAGGAGAUUGUAUCCACUCCGCACCCACCCCCUUCUCGACUCUCUGAUGUUCUCCUUUUCGUCUUGGAGCGGCGGAUACCGUCAUCCUACCACCUCCCGGCUGUUAUAAUCUCGUGAGUCCUAUUUUCUCACAAAUGCUGAGAACACUUUCGCGGAAACGUCAACACGCGGAACACCGAUCGGUCCCGUUUGCGAGGGCGAAUGAUCCGAGAGAAUAUUUUUGAAACGGCAAUGAGUGCCCCGGAUAUUACAUGAGGCGAUAAAGAGAUAGCAUCAAGAGGGAACCGCUUGGACGGCAUAAAGGCGACACGGAGGGUGCUCGAUGGCUGACGAGGACGGGCAAGAAGGGGAUAGAGGGAGAAACGGAGGAGUCAAGGGAGGAGGAGGAGGAGGAGAAACGACGAGAUGGCAGAGUUGUAAAGUCCUGCGCGUGACACCGGGUUAUGUUAUGUUCCCCGCGUUUGUGUUGGCGAUCCCACGGAUGGUGGCCUCGUGGACGCUGGUUUAUUCGUUUCGGUGCACGCAAGGCCGCCGCACGCCGUGCUAUUAUUAUCAUUGACGCGACGAGAUUCGAGCCUACAGGUUGCGACGCAGUGACGCGAAACCGCUCCGUGUCACCUCAUUCAUCUAUUCUAUUGGAACGCAAUCGCAGCAAAUAACAGGCGACCGACGCUGUUGGCAUGCGGGUACAGUCCGUCGGGAAAAUAGACGGUUUAACCAAACGUGGCUCUUCGGGGAUUGGAAAGGGCUUCCAAGAGGGUUCCCACGAACACGCGGGGGGCGUUUCGGACGAACGGGACGGACACACUGAAGCGAGCAGGUAGCGGAAGUCAUCUGGACGAGAGUGAAGAGAAAGAAUGGGAAGUCCAUCUUCACCGAUAGACGUCCCGCUUGGGGUAUCUGAGGGUAACUGUUUUCGAUUUCGAAGACCGCAUGCCGAUGCACCCGUAUAGAGUGGGGAAAAGUACGUCCCGGAGUGGGAUAUUGGGUACCCUAAAGGUGGGGAGGUCCUCGGCCCUCCUGAGACCUGUUGAUGUGUGGGAAUUCACGCCGUCUGCAGGAUAUACCUCGUGCAACGUAGUCGCUUAUUUAAUUUGGGCUACAUCCUGUGAAGAUAAUAUCGGAAGUGGUUUGGACAAUUUACAACCAAGCAAGCGAUAUAUUUAUUUUCAAUUGGUAUAAUUAUAUCCUUCAUAGGUCUCUUAUAAAAGUGUCUUGUAAUCUCUAUAAAAUAAAAAAGUAAUAAAUGCACACGUUAUACAA
Solenopsis invicta (red fire ant) is the source of this 2165-nucleotide long non-coding RNA. RefSeq lists it as uncharacterized. Lineage: Eukaryota; Metazoa; Arthropoda; Insecta; Hymenoptera; Formicidae. The transcript has 5 exons. The record is from RefSeq and is a predicted model, not a curated record.